AUGCACCCUCCCUGCUGCAAAAAUGCCCGAGUUAGAGAGGUUGUUCAGGAACAACCCCAGAGGAGAUCGGUGAGGUUGUCAGUUAAACCUCCUCUGAAAAAGUGGAAAAAAAGCCCCAAAAAGGCAGCAGGAAAGGAUAAAUCUUCAGACUAAAAAGCGCAAAGGGGGAAGACGGAAGAAGUGGAUAACCAGGAAACUGAAAGAUUUACCUGCAGAGAACAGAGAAGAUACAAACGAGAAGAAUUCAGACUGUGGUGAAACAGGAGAGAAAGAAGCCAAAUAUGA
RNAcentral lists this long non-coding RNA (285 nucleotides) under Homo sapiens (human). RNAcentral describes it as "non-protein coding lnc-CCDC82-11:1". Lineage: Eukaryota; Metazoa; Chordata; Mammalia; Primates; Hominidae. The record is from RNAcentral.